CUAAGCAUAUCAAUAAGCGGAGGAAAAGAAACCAACAGGGAUUGCCCUAGUAACGGCGAGUGAAGCGGCAACAGCUCAAAUUUGAAAUCUGGCCCUCGGGUCCGAGUUGUAAUUUGUAGAGGAUGCUUUUGGUGAGGUACCUUCCGAGUUCCCUGGAACGGGACGCCAUAGAGGGUGAGAGCCCCGUCUGGUUGGAUACCGAUCCUCUGUAAAGCUCCUUCGACGAGUCGAGUAGUUUGGGAAUGCUGCUCUAAAUGGGAGGUAUAUGUCUUCUAAAGCUAAAUAUUGGCCAGAGACCGAUAGCGCACAAGUAGAGUGAUCGAAAGAUGAAAAGCACUUUGAAAAGAGAGUUAAAAAGUACGUGAAAUUGUUGAAAGGGAAGCGCUUAUGACCAGACUUGGACUUGGUUGAUCAUCCUGGGUUCUCCCUGGUGCACUCUUCCAGUUCAGGCCAGCAUCAGUUCGCUGCGGGGGAUAAAAGUUUUGGGAAUGUGGCUCCCUCGGGAGUGUUAUAGCCCAUUGCAUAAUACCCUGCUCCGGACUGAGGUUCGCGCAUCUGCAAGGAUGCUGGCGUAAUGGUCAUCAGCGACCCGUCUUGAAACACGGACCAAGGAGUCGUCUUCGUAUGCGAGUGUUCGGGUGUUAAACCCCUACGCGUAAUGAAAGUGAACGCAGGUGAGAGCUUCGGCGCAUCAUCGACCGAUCCUGAUGUUCUCGGAUGGAUUUGAGUAAGAGCAUACGGGGCCGGACCCGAAAGAAGGUGAACUAUGCCUGUAUAGGGUGAAGCCAGAGGAAACUCUGGUGGAGGCUCGCAGCGGUUCUGACGUGCAAAUCGAUCGUCAAAUAUGGGCAUGGGGGCGAAAGACUAAUCGAACCUUCUAGUAGCUGGUUUCCGCCGAAGUU
RNAcentral lists this ribosomal RNA (902 nucleotides) under Calonectria lauri. RNAcentral describes it as "LSU rRNA". It matches the Rfam family "Eukaryotic large subunit ribosomal RNA", at positions 34 to 968 of the family's 3401-position model. The record is from RNAcentral. Lineage: Eukaryota; Fungi; Ascomycota; Sordariomycetes; Hypocreales; Nectriaceae.